CCCUUAGUAACUGCGAGUGAAGAGGGAAGAGCUCAAAUUUUAAAUCUGGCAGUGUUUCACUGUCCGAGUUGUAAAUUCAAGAAGUGUUAUCCAUAUACUGGACCAUGCACAAGUCUCUUGGAAAAGAGCAUCAUAGAGGGUGACAAUCCCGUCUCUGGCUUGGACUCCCAGCAUUUUUGUGAUACACUCUCAAUGAGUCGAGUUGUUUGGGAAUGCAGCUCUAAAUGGGUGGUAAAUUCCAUCUAAAGCUAAAUAUUGGCGAGAGACCGAUAGCGAACAAGUACCGUGAGGGAAAGAUGAAAAGGACUUUGAAAAGAGAGUUAAACAGUACGUGAAAUUGUUGAAAGGGAAACGCUUGAAGUCAGUCAUGUUCAAUUGAAAUCAACCAGACUUUGCCUGGUGCACUUUCUCUUGGACAGGCCAGCAUCAGUUUUGACCGCUGCAGAAAGGCUUUGGAAAUGUAGUGCCUUUUUGGUGUGUUAUAGUCCUUAGUUGUAUACAGUGGUUGGGAUUGAGGAACUCAGUGUGACCUUUGUGUUUGGAGAAUUCCUCACAACACACACUUAGGAUGCUGGCAUAAUGGCUUUAAUCGACCCGUCUUGAAACACGGACCAAGGAGUCUAACAUACAUGCAAGUGUUUGGGUGGAAAACUCAAGCGCGCAAUGAAAGUGAAAGUUGAGAACCCUGUCGGGGGUGCACCAACGCCCGGUCCAGAGCUUCUGUGACGGAUCUGCGGUAGAGCAUGUAUGUUGGGACCCGAAAGAUGGUGAACUAUGCCUGAAUAGGGUGAAGCCAGAGGAAACUCUGGUGGAAGCUCGUAGCGAUUCUGACGUGCAAAUCGAUCGUCGAAUUUGGGUAUA
This 861-nucleotide ribosomal RNA is filed under the name Clavaria sinensis. Its description in RNAcentral is "partial large subunit ribosomal RNA". It matches the Rfam family "Eukaryotic large subunit ribosomal RNA", at positions 77 to 919 of the family's 3401-position model. Lineage: Eukaryota; Fungi; Basidiomycota; Agaricomycetes; Agaricales; Clavariaceae. The record is from RNAcentral.